AUACGGAGGGUCCAAGCGUUAUCCGGAUUUAUUGGGUUUAAAGGGUGCGCAGGCGGAAUGAUAAGUUAGUGGUGAAAUCCCGAGGCUCAACUUCGGAACUGCCAUUAAUACUGUCAUUCUUGAAUUCGGUUGAAGUGGGCGGAAUGUAGCAUGUAGCGGUGAAAUGCAUAGAGAUGCUACAGAACACCGAUCGCGAAGGCAGCUCACUAAACCAACACUGACGCUCAGGCACGAAAGCGUGGGGAGCGAACAGGAUUAGAAACCCCAGUAGUCC
This 274-nucleotide ribosomal RNA is filed under the name uncultured bacterium. RNAcentral's name for it is "partial 16S ribosomal RNA". It matches the Rfam family "Bacterial small subunit ribosomal RNA", at positions 523 to 796 of the family's 1533-position model. The record is from RNAcentral.